AAUUCCAUUCAAUAUCAGAAAUAACAAACUUCACUCCGAUUAAUCUCGAUUCACACAAUUUUUGUAAUCACUGACUUCUUCUACCGAAACACAUACAACUUUCAAUAAACAACAAUCAUAAUCUUUCAUCUAUUAUCAAUUUUCUAAUAACUUAAUAUAUAAUUCAAUCAUACAAUACUCCAAUUACAUAAUCAAUAACUCAUAAAUCAAUCUCUGAUUUAUUCGGCAGAUUCACUUCUUAGUAUUCAGAAACAAUCCAUUACUCUUCAACAACAAAGAAACAAAGAUAUAGUACCAAGCUUAUCCUAGCUCAUGACUAUCACAAUCUGGCCCUUAUAAUAUCUUCUUCAACUUACUUAUGCUUUAUUUCUAAAAUUUCAGAUUUUAACCAUCAUUCCCUACUUAAUUGUUCUUUGUAACUAAUUCAAUUACCUAUCCUACUGAAUUGACUAUCUUAGAUAUGAUUAAUCUACUUUAUUAAUAUCUUACAAAAACAAAUUUUUAUCCCUUUUAUAUAGCCCCACUCCUAAUUGUGCAGUGUUCUUACAAAUAUAGAUUUGAUACAUAUUU
Molecule: long non-coding RNA, 570 nt
Filed under: Physcomitrium patens
Lineage: Eukaryota; Viridiplantae; Streptophyta; Bryopsida; Funariales; Funariaceae
Description: long non-coding RNA (PPAT_LNC006865)
Source: RNAcentral